UAUGCCCCUUUACUACUUCGCCAAUAGAUGGCGCCAAACGCUACGGUCCUGCGCGUACUUCCGGUAUAUUACGCGGUUCAUAGAUAUUUGCACGACCAACAACUACAACGAAGUAUUUACGAUGCCUUCGACGUGCAGCUGUGUCCCGGGAUGCUGCAAUCGAGGUGGUUUGUCGUUUCCGAGAGAACCUUUGUUGCUGAAACGAUGGUUGAUUGCUAUUCGGAGGAGCGACGAAUCAAACCAAGGCAAGAUGUGGAAACCGUCACCUCACAGUGUUGUGUGUCAUUCCCACUUCAGACCGUCUGAUUUCAUUGCUGUAACUAGUUAUGGUGCUUGUUUUCCACAGAGAUGAGGCACAGAUGAUUCAAGAAUACAGGGUGUACACCUCUGAGGAAACAGAGAAAACCAGAUGCUGUACCAUCAAUCUUUCCCUGGACUGCAUCAGCCAACGCACUUGAGGCCGAUGGAGGCUUAAGGAAAUCCUGCAUUGAAAGACGUGAGAGCCAAAAGAGGACAUUUAAAGCAAUGGAUACAGAUUGUGAUAUUGAAUGUGAUAUCAGUGAGGUAGCUGGGGAGGAAAUAAUUGACAAUGUUGAGUUUGAUGACAUGAAUACCGACUUAAACAUUUAUUCUGCAGAUAGUGCAGAGGUUGAAUAUGAAAGUACAUCAGCUCAGACAGACAAAUUUCCAAUGCUUCCAAUACAAAGUAUUAUGUUUAAUGCUGCAGCAAUUUUGUUUUACACAGGACUGUCAAACUAUACAGACUUCACCUUUGUACUUGCAAGUUUGGGUCCGUGUGCAUAUCACCUAAAUUAUUUGUACAGCAAAGUUGACAGUAUGACUAUCAGUGUGGAAAAUCAAUUGCUUUUAACACUUAUGAAACUGCGCCGACAUAAGAUUAACUUUGAACUUGGUCUUAAUUUUGGAAUUUCAGAGAAAACAGUAUUAAAUGUAUGGUUCACCUGGGUAAAUUUUAUGUAUAGACAGUGGAGUGAGCUUGAUAACUGGCCAGAACGAGACUUAGUGCACUAUUUUUGUCCUUCUGAUUUCAAAUUCAAAUUUCCAUCCACAUUCAAAAUACUUACUGAACCUCUUAACAGUUCAGAAACCAAAUUAGCCACAGAAAUAACCAGGGUUUGCUUCAUGCUUUGUUCUUUCAAAAAGUGCAUUGUUCCCUCUACUUGCUAAUCAUAUUGGUUAGCAAAUCAUUAAAAAUAUCUUUCAUUCCAGUCGGACGUUAGUCAGACGUAGAGUAUGGAGAUUUGUUUCUAAUUUCUUUCAAAAAGGCCUGUUAUUUGCGUUUGCUACAUGAUUAAAGAUAAUUGUUGCUAAAUAUUCAUGAGGAUAAAGUUGAAUGUAACAUGUUAUCGAUUAUGUAUCAUGUUGAGACUAGAAUGGGAAUCUGUGGUCAAAAAGCAAGUUUGAAGCAAAUUUACCAUUUGUGCAGCCACAAUCAAUCAUACUCUUUUGUCAAGGUACAAACAUAAAUGUGUUAGUAUCAGAGAUUAUGAUAAUGUAAUGCUCAACUUCCUGUUCAGUGUGGUGUUAAACCCAUCUCACUCACUGAAUUUGUUUUAAAUUUAUGACAUCAGUAACAUGAAUUUAAGAAUGUUGACAUUGUUUGGUGCGUACUGUUACAUUAUCCCCUGCCACAAAGUGGGAGAGACACAUUUCUUGUCUGAGCAUAAUUCGGAAACUGUUUCAUAUGUUAUUAUGAAACUUGGCACAUGUAUCAAACACAAGUUGAACUGGUGCCCUUUCCUGUUUUCCAUGGCAGCAAUUUGGAUUAAACCCAAAUACUGGUUGCUUUUAUUUCACGAACUUAAAAUCUGAAUAAGUUGAAGUGUAUAUUUCUGGAUCAUAUAUCCAUUAUAUUUUCAAUGGAUACAUGUUUACUGAGAAACAAAUUGUAAUUAAUUGUCCUAAGUUAGGAGGACCAUGUUUAAAUCUGUUACUUUGUGCAUUGUGGCUGUAAUGAGGACAAAAUUCUAAUGUGUCCCAUGGCUGUGUAUUCUUCAUAUGAUACUGGCAGCAGCUAGACCGGUCCAGAUAUUUGGCACAUCUUAGUGCUGUUGCUUCAGCUCUCUCAGAUGUUAUAAAAGGCAAUCAUGACAAGCAAGAAGUCAAUGACAAUGUUUUUUUAUCAUUCCCUCAAACAGUUCAGCUGCAGAUAAUAAUCACAUGACAGUUGUAAUUCCUCAGAUAUAGAGCUGAAGGAGUAUGCUUCAAGCAGUGAUGAUAUUUAUGAGUAUGGACACUGAAUUGUGAUUAUGUAUUGCACUGUAGCUUCAUCUAUAUUUAGAUCUUCCAACUAUUAACUACUGGAGUACUUAACAGAUGGUUGCCAUUGUCACAAAAGGAGUUAAAAGUUAAUGUCACAUCAAUACUAUUUCAGCCAUAUAGUGACGAGACCAAGUUGAUAUACACAAUUUACUCAUGAAUGCAAAGGUAUAUUUAACAAUAUCAUUUAUACAGUUUUAAAACACAGGUUAUAGGCCAUCAGAAACCAAAGCUAGGCCACCUCGCCGGGGAUCAUGGGGACUUACGGUGCCUCUGCUUCCUGCACGAUACCCUAGCAGGAUUUAUGUCAUUAACUAAGCCACUGGUGGUUGUGCUCAAUACUAGCCAGUCAGCAAUGAUGUCAGUUGAUUAUAGCAUCACAUCAAAUUUAAAAACAGGCAAUCAAUGAUUCACAUACAUAUUUAGAUUAUUUUUUUUUACAGACCAUUUUUUCUUUCAAGUAGUUGAUAAUGAGGUGCCUGGUCAUAUAGUACUGUAACAGUAAGUACGAACUGACAUCUGAGAUUGUAUUUAUUUAGACUAGUGAAUGCAUCCAUGUAUGGGACCAGUGUGUACGUUGUGAUUUUUAGAUUAUCCAACUUAUAACUACUGGAGUGAUUAAGAGAUGGUUGCCAUUGUCACAUAGUACUGUAACAGUAAGUACUAAAUGUCUUAAUAAACAUCUGAGAUUGUAUUUAUUUACACAAGUGAAUGUAUCAAUGUAUGGGACCAGAGUUCAACCUGGUUUUGUCUGAUGCAACUCUUUUCACGUCAACAUUCAUCUGGUGAAAUAUCAUCCUUAAAUGGAGCCCUGCAAGUUUUUUCAUAACUUUUUGUUUGUGAAUGUCCAUAUAUGCAGAAUAUAAUAUGUUCAGCAUUAAACAUUGAGACUACAA
Long non-coding RNA from Haliotis rufescens (red abalone), 3176 nucleotides. RefSeq lists it as uncharacterized. NCBI's taxonomy places the organism in Eukaryota, Metazoa, Mollusca, Gastropoda, Lepetellida, Haliotidae. The transcript has 3 exons. The record is from RefSeq and is a predicted model, not a curated record.